RNAcentral lists this ribosomal RNA (425 nucleotides) under uncultured bacterium. RNAcentral describes it as "bacterial SSU rRNA". It matches the Rfam family "Bacterial small subunit ribosomal RNA", at positions 356 to 773 of the family's 1533-position model. The record is from RNAcentral.
AGGGAAUCUUCCACAAUGGACGAAAGUCUGAUGGAGCAACGCCGCGUGAGUGAAGAAGGUUUUCGGAUCGUAAAACUCUGUUGUUGGAGAAGAACGUAUUUGAUAGUAACUGAUCAGGUAGUGACGGUAUCCAACCAGAAAGCCACGGCUAACUACGUGCCAGCAGCCGCGGUAAUACGUAGGUGGCAAGCGUUGUCCGGAUUUAUUGGGCGUAAAGCGAGCGCAGGCGGUUUCUUAAGUCUGAUGUGAAAGCCUUCGGCUCAACCGAAGAAGUGCAUCGGAAACUGGGAAACUUGAGUGCAGAAGAGGACAGUGGAACUCCAUGUGUAGCGGUGAAAUGCGUAGAUAUAUGGAAGAACACCAGUGGCGAAGGCGGCUGUCUGGUCUGUAACUGACGCUGAGGCUCGAAAGCAUGGGUAGCAAAU